AACGCGAAGAACCUUACCUGGGCUCGAACGGCUUAAGACAAUCCUUGGAAACAGGGACUUCUCGCAAGAGACUUGAGUCGAGGUGCUGCAUGGCUGUCGUCAGCUCGUGUCGUGAGAUGUUGGGUUAAGUCCCGCAACGAGCGCAACCCUUGUCCUGUGUUGCCACUCCCGCAAGGGAAGCACUCUCAGGAGACCGCCAGCGAUAAGCUGGAGGAAGGUGGGGAUGAUGUCAAGUCAUCAUGGCCUUUAUGUCCAGGGCUACACACGUGCUACAAUGGACGGUACAAAGCGCUGCAAACCCGCGAGGGGGAGCUAAUCGCAAAAAACCGUUCUCAGUUCGGAUCGCAGGCUGCAACUCGCCUGCGUGAAGCUGGAAUCGCUAGUAAUGGUGUAUCAGAAUGAUACCGUGAAUACGUUCCCGGGCCUUGUACACACCGGCUAC
This 442-nucleotide ribosomal RNA is filed under the name uncultured bacterium. RNAcentral describes it as "bacterial SSU rRNA". It matches the Rfam family "Bacterial small subunit ribosomal RNA", at positions 958 to 1397 of the family's 1533-position model. The record is from RNAcentral.